UGAGUAACCUGCCCUUCACUCUGGGAUAACUCCGGGAAACCGGGGCUAAUACUGGAUAUGACUCGAACAGGCAUCUGUUUCGGGUGGAAAGAUUUAUCGGUGAGGGAUGGACUCGCGGCCUAUCAGCUUGUUGGUGAGGUAAUGGCUCACCAAGGCGACGACGGGUAGCCGGCCUGAGAGGGCGAUCGGCCACACUGGGACUGAGACACGGCCCAGACUCCUACGGGAGCA
Molecule: ribosomal RNA, 231 nt
Filed under: uncultured bacterium
Lineage: Bacteria
Description: partial 16S ribosomal RNA
Rfam family: Bacterial small subunit ribosomal RNA
Source: RNAcentral